UUACGCUUAGUAACUUUUAAUUAAAUUCAUAACAUUUAUGUACACAUGAAUAAAGCAAAAACAGCAGCAACAAGAUUUAACGCUUAGACAAUAAAAUAUUGGGAAAAGGACAUCUGGGACUGUAUGACAUUUAAUGUUAGAUUCUUGGAGUUUAUAAGAAGUGUAGGUAUGCAGAUUUGAGACAAUUUAUUCAGGAUAAAGUAAAACCUACCCGAGACAAGAGAUGGAAGGAGCUUCUAGGAUUAUGUUUUCAAACAAAGUGAUGGCGUUGAUGUUUUUGUCAGCCAUUUUCCAUUCCAUGGGGUUUGCAACGCCUGGUUGGUUGUUUAUGAAGCUAAGCAACGGCACCAUUCAUACUGGUUUAUGGUACGGGGUGCAUUGUGAUAGCAGUUCUUGCUCUACUAAUACCAUUUGGAACCUUGACCAAUCACAUUUUAAGUUCAAAGGUACG
Long non-coding RNA from Ruditapes philippinarum (Manila clam), 451 nucleotides. RefSeq lists it as uncharacterized. The record is from RefSeq and is a predicted model, not a curated record. NCBI's taxonomy places the organism in Eukaryota, Metazoa, Mollusca, Bivalvia, Venerida, Veneridae. The transcript has 3 exons.